ACCUACCUACCUGCCUGCCUGCCUGCCUGCCUACCUGCCUAUCUAUCUACUGACCUGCUUGAAUGAACGAUAUCCACUGAUGAUAUCUAUCGAUGAUAUCUAGCGAUGAUAUCUGAAAUGAUGCCUACCGAUGGUGAUAUUGAUGAUGAUAUAUAUUGACGCCAUGCUCAUCAACAACUGUGUCAACAAGUCCUCUGAACUUCAAUGUUGUCCUUCCAUGGUAUAUAUAUAAUAAGUGAGAUUAUCACUUCAUAUCAUCUUCAUCUCUUCAAUCAUCUUACCAUGCCAUGCGUUGGUACCAUUUGGAAUCUUCUUUAUGAACAUACAAUCCUCAUCUGCAAUAAUGUCUAUUGAUGAUAUCUAGUGAUGAUGUAUAUUGAUGAUAUAUAUAAUAUCUAAGAGCUUGGCUUUUCUGAGCUUAUUGCUCCGUCUGGCACUCAGCUACAUGUUCAUGGAGCUCCUGCUAUAUACAUAUAUCUAAUGACUAUUUAACAGUGCAAUUGCUCCUAGUAGUCACAUCAGGUAUGGCAAAGGCCAUUCAUGAUUGUAUAGGUGUUUUUAAUAAUUUUGUGUAAGUGCCCAGUAUAUAUCAAGUUCAGCUGAAAACAAUUUCCUCGAUCCAUCAUUUAUCACAUUUCAUGGAAAAUACCAUGCAUGUGGAGUAACAACCGUGAAGUUUCCACUGCGCAGCUUGCGCAUAAUCCUGCCACACCAACACUCAUGUCAAAUGCCAUGCCCAGAAACAGGCAGCCAAAGGCUCCUGCAAUGAAAACAAGCU
This 778-nucleotide small RNA is filed under the name Histoplasma ohiense. RNAcentral's name for it is "hypothetical lncRNA". Lineage: Eukaryota; Fungi; Ascomycota; Eurotiomycetes; Onygenales; Ajellomycetaceae. The record is from RNAcentral.